RNAcentral lists this long non-coding RNA (451 nucleotides) under Prunus persica (peach). RNAcentral's name for it is "long non-coding RNA (PPER_LNC000749)". Lineage: Eukaryota; Viridiplantae; Streptophyta; Magnoliopsida; Rosales; Rosaceae. The record is from RNAcentral.
UUCGAUACCAUCGAUAUUUUAGACCUUGGUGCAUGUUUACACGCAUUUAAAAGAGAUGUUAACCAUUAGAUUGAUCUAAUGAAUUUUAACAAGUCCACAUCAGCAUUUCUUUACACAUUAUGUGUAUUUAAUACCUUUGAAAUAAAAUAUUAAAAAUACAAAAUAAUAGUCUCAGCCCUAACCCAGCCCCUACUCAGCCCAUACCUAAAUCAUCCCCACCAGUUGCUGCUAUCCAUGGCCACCUCCUCUCUUUGCGCCAUCCAUAGUCCUAUCGUAGUAUUUAAUAUGGAAUUAUUGUCUCAACAGCAAGCAAGUAUUCCAAAAUUAAACUGCAAUUGAAAAUUCUAGAGGUGCCUGCCAACUACUAGAAUUAUAGGCAAGCGCCGAUCAACUAUGAGAGCAUCAUAGUGGGGCGCAAAUUGUCCUGAAGGAUAAAGUGCCAAACAUUUAC